RNAcentral lists this ribosomal RNA (253 nucleotides) under uncultured bacterium. Its description in RNAcentral is "partial 16S ribosomal RNA". It matches the Rfam family "Bacterial small subunit ribosomal RNA", at positions 524 to 776 of the family's 1533-position model. The record is from RNAcentral.
UACGUAGGGUGCGAGCGUUAAUCGGAAUUACUGGGCGUAAAGCGUGCGCAGGCGGUUUUGUAAGCCAGAUGUGAAAUCCCCGGGCUUAACCUGGGAAUGGCAUUUGGGACUGCAAGGCUCGAGUGCGGCAGAGGAGACUGGAAUUCCUGGUGUAGCAGGGAAAUGCGCAGAUAUCAGGAGGAACACCGGUGGCGAAGGCGGGUCUCUGGGCAACAACUGACGCUGAGGAGCGAAAGCGUGGGGAGCGAACAGG